This 1283-nucleotide long non-coding RNA is filed under the name Mus spicilegus (steppe mouse). RNAcentral's name for it is "lncRNA (ENSMSIG00000012875.1)". The record is from RNAcentral. Lineage: Eukaryota; Metazoa; Chordata; Mammalia; Rodentia; Muridae.
CUUCUUAGGUGAGCCAGAGGCUCGGUGGUGGGGAAGGCAGCUGGCCUUGGUGUCUACUCGGGGAUCAUCCCAGAUUGUCUAGCCUCAUCAGAAAGCAUUUAGGAGGCACCUAAUUGGACUUGGGGCUGGGCUCCUCCCCAAGUACUGCAGAUAAGUCUGUGUUCUGUGUGACCUAUGAGCGGGUGGGGGUGGAGGGACACCUGCCAGGAUGACUUCAUGGUGACCAUAUGUCCUGACCAACCCACUGUACAUAGGUCACAGAGCUGAGCAUGUCCUACCAAUUGUCAUGAUUCCUCCAAAGCAGCCUCAUGGGAUAGAUGCUUCCCUUGUCUCCAGAGCACUCACUUUAAGCAAUGACUUCCUAGACCCUGGCUAUGGCUAUGUGGACAUAAAGAUUUAUCUUGUGGGAGCAAGCAAUGUUCUAAAUCCAAGAGGCUUAAAGCAGCAGAAUCGAAAUUUCUAGAAAAACCAGUUUGGCUCAGCAGUGAACUGCCAUGUCUGCUCAGUGUGAUAGCUAAGAAAAUGGAGUUCAGAUGGAUGCUCAGGGGUAGACUAGGAAUACACAGGCGUCACCCCUUCCCGAGGCUGGCGUCCCGAGGCUGUCGUGUGCAGAUCAUUAGCAUCUAUCGCCUACCAGCUGUGUCAUCAAGACAAGGACAUUCAAGAUACCCAAUAUCUUGGCAUUUAUCUCACCGACUUCAGCCGUCUCCCAGAACAUCACAUUAUCUCAAAGGACAGCAUAAAAGGUCCCUAGACCCCUGCAGGCUGUGUACCCUCCACAUCCCAUCUUCAUCCCAGUCCUGCCUCUGAGCUCAUUAUCAGCAGCAACGUGCAUCUGUGCCUAGGAAGGCAGCGCCCUGAGGGUGCCUGCUGCAGGGCCAGAGGCCCUGGGAGACCCUUUUGCUUCAAUUGCUCAAGUGACCUGCCUCUUCUUAAGUGACCUACUUCCUUUUACAGACUCCUGAGUUAGACAGUUCAAGGUGAGUGACUGGCAACUCCACCCAGGCUCUGCUGGAGGCUGGACCAGAGCCAGCCGGCCCCUCCCCCUCCCUCUGAAUGAUUAGCUAGAUAAACUACAAGGCUGGCCCCAGGAGCUUAGAACCUCCGGGAGAGGGGGUAGAUUCUGUACACAUCUUUUUUUUUUUUUCUUCUAAAAACCUGAGCCCCUGAAUGGGCAAGCACAGUAGCAACUGAGCUACACCCCCAGUACCCUCCCCCCCUUUUUUUUUUGUUUUUUUUUUUGAGACAGGGUUUCUCUGUAUAGCCCUGGCUGUCCUGGAACU